CAUAAAGUCGUCUACUAUGGCAAUUCUGGGAGAGAUGCAUAACGUACAAUUUUAUUCAGCUAUGCCUAAUUUAGAUCGGAGGAUGAUCCUACUUGUGGAGUGGAUAGUUUAACCCAAAUAAUUUUUUUUUAAUUGAUAACAAAAUGAGCCACAAGUAAAAUCAUCCUCUGGACUAAACAGAGCAUUAAUUGCAAAGUGCUUAAAUAAAAUAUUGUAAAACCAAGGACUUCAAGGAAUCCAAGAUGAUGAGGUGAUGGACUGUCAGAUUAGAUUAACUACUUCACUCAACUGGGUCAAAAAUAACAUUUUCCAUAAUCCAAGUAUGCUUGAACCCAGUGAGCAAAAUAUUAGCAAUAUGCUAGCAGUAUCACUUAAGUGACAAUGUCAAUAUUCAACAACUUGAGGAUAUUGCAUGUGAGAGUACUUUUAAAUGUAACACAAAAUUAUUACUUCCUUUACCUCUGAUGACCAUAGAAGAUUAUUCCAAAUUUGAAGAGGAGCUUCAGCAAGAUAGGAAAAUCAGAAAACAGUUUGUGAUAACGUUUUCAAAAAAUAGUCGUGAACAGGAAAAAACAAUCAACACCAAUGAAAGACACAUUUGCUAGUAUUAUUAUAGGUAACUAAAAACAAAAAUAUUAUAAAUAUUACAAUUCUACGGUAGAAAAUUGCGGUCUUCAUCAAGUAUACAAAGUUAUUCAAGAAUGGUUGCGGCACGCAGGAGAUCGCCUCAAUUAGUUAUUGAAAAAGUGACAUAAAUAAGUAGUAUUACAAAUAUAUAUUUUUAUAAGUAUUAAAUAUAUUUUUAUGUGUUACAAAUACAGGGUGUCCCAUUUUAAGUGGGCGCCCCGAAUAACUUCGAAGGAAGUGAUUUUCAAAGAAAAUGACCCAGACAAAAGUUGUUGGGUUUGGAGGGGACAUCCGAUGGUGACAUUAGUUUAACCUAGAAUGUACGUGCCAAGGACAUAUGGAGGUCAACUUUGUUUUUUUAAAUGGAACACCCUAUUUUUGAUUCCAAAAUCUAAUAGCUGGUGUCAAGAGCUU
Non-coding RNA from Linepithema humile (Argentine ant), 1041 nucleotides. Lineage: Eukaryota; Metazoa; Arthropoda; Insecta; Hymenoptera; Formicidae. The record is from RefSeq and is a predicted model, not a curated record.